RNAcentral lists this long non-coding RNA (358 nucleotides) under Rosa chinensis. Its description in RNAcentral is "sRNA RchiOBHm_Chr4g0398181". Lineage: Eukaryota; Viridiplantae; Streptophyta; Magnoliopsida; Rosales; Rosaceae. The record is from RNAcentral.
CGAAAUCGCCGCCGAAUUCUCCCACCACGACCCCACCGUCGCCCGAAUCAACAACGGCAGCUUCGGGUCCUACCCCGACUCCGUCCUCCAGGCCCAGCGCCGCUGGCAGCUCAAGUACCUCUCCCAGCCCGAUCACUUCUACUUCAACCACCUCCAAGCCGGCAUCCUCCACUCCCGCACCCUCAUCAAGGACCUCAUCAACGCCGACCACGUCGACGAGGUCUCCAUCGUCGACAACGCCACCACCGCCGCCGCCAUCGUCCUCCAGCAGGAUGCCUGGGGCUUCUCCGAGAGCAAGUUCGAGCAGGGCGACGCAGUCGUCAUGCUCCACUACGCCUACGGCGCCGUCAAGAAGUCG